GCCCGGUAGCUAAGUGCGGAAAAGAUAAGUGCUGAAAGCAUCUAAGCACGAAACUUGCCCCGAGAUGAGUUCUCCCUGACCCCUUGAGGGUCCUGAAGGGACGUUGAAGACUACGACGUUGAUAGGCCGGGUGUGUAAGCGCAGCGAUGCGUUGAGCUAACCGGUACUAAUGACCCGUGAGGCUUAACCUUACAACGCCAGAGGCGUUU
RNAcentral lists this ribosomal RNA (209 nucleotides) under Pantoea vagans. RNAcentral's name for it is "partial 23S ribosomal RNA". It matches the Rfam family "Bacterial large subunit ribosomal RNA", at positions 2740 to 2925 of the family's 2925-position model. The record is from RNAcentral. Lineage: Bacteria; Pseudomonadati; Pseudomonadota; Gammaproteobacteria; Enterobacterales; Erwiniaceae.